AAAAAGGAUCAUGUGCCAAGGAGAGUGCCUGGGGAGGCCAAGAAGGUGGAGGUGGAGAUGGUUGGGGGGCAGAGGUGAGGAAGACUGAGAGCUGAAGGAAAGGGGCAGACCAUGCCUGUCUUUCACAUCUAUUCAAUCAGGGCUUCUCAGUCAUUUUAAUGAGAGACUCCUUCCCUGAGUAAAAAUCAGGCAAUAAAGGGAGGAAUGCCUCCCCAUUUAACUUGACCGAGAACUGCAGAAGACGAAAGGAGGGUUGGUUGAAACAAAGUUAGAGCUGGCCUAGUUUGGUUGGCUGCCGUUCCUAUAAAUAUCACCCUCCUGGUCCUGGAAAGGCAUCAGUGACGGCUGUUGGAGCUACUGGGGAACAUCCUUCCUGUUCAGAUGUCCAGGAGUUGGCUGUGUGUGGACAUCCACGUGCAAAGUGCCUGGAAGCAGGGGGUUUAAUCGCUGUCCCAGUGACUUCUGCAUUAAGGAGAAGGCAAGAUAAAGGAUCCCUUACCAGGUGGAGAAAGAGGCUUUCUGAGUAGUGAAAGACUCUGAGAAGCCAGUGGGCCGUGUGGUCUGGGAGCGCUCGGCGCGGGCGGUGGUCGGAGCAGGGGCCACCUUGACGGACGCGGGGACGAUCGCUGUCGCGCAGCUGGCAGGGCCCGGAAACGCAGUGGGGACCAGAAAGCCCUUUCCGAAGACACGGAAGGCGGCGGAGGAGAGGAACGGCAGCGCCCCGGUCCCGGCGCAUUUGAGAAGGAAAAUGCUUGAGGUGCACGUGUGUGAGGUAUAUUUGGACA
Molecule: long non-coding RNA, 785 nt
Filed under: Canis lupus familiaris (dog)
Lineage: Eukaryota; Metazoa; Chordata; Mammalia; Carnivora; Canidae
Description: lncRNA (ENSCAFG00000051324.1)
Source: RNAcentral